UGGGGAAUAUUGCACAAUGGGCGCAAGCCUGAUGCAGCCAUGCCGCGUGUAUGAAGAAGGCCUUCGGGUUGUAAAGUACUUUCAGCGAGGAGGAAGGCAUUAAGGUUAAUAACCUUGGUGAUUGACGUUACUCGCAGAAGAAGCACCGGCUAACUCCGUGCCAGCAGCCGCGGUAAUACGGAGGGUGCAAGCGUUAAUCGGAAUUACUGGGCGUAAAGCGCACGCAGGCGGUCUGUCAAUUCGGAUGUGAAAUCCCCGGGCUCAACCUGGGAACUGCAUUCGAAACUGGCAGGCUAGAGUCUUGUAGAGGGGGGUAGAAUUCCAGGUGUAGCGGUGAAAUGCGUAGAGAUCUGGAGGAAUACCGGUGGCGAAGGCGGCCCCCUGGACAAAGACUGACGCUCAGGUGCGAAAGCGUGGGGAGCAAACA
Molecule: ribosomal RNA, 427 nt
Filed under: uncultured bacterium
Lineage: Bacteria
Description: partial 16S ribosomal RNA
Rfam family: Bacterial small subunit ribosomal RNA
Source: RNAcentral